GGACCUUUAACUCAGUUGGUUAGAGUAGACGGUUCAUAACCGCGUGUGGUUCGAUUCCACACCA
RNAcentral lists this transfer RNA (64 nucleotides) under Secundilactobacillus paracollinoides. RNAcentral's name for it is "Lactobacillus paracollinoides tRNA-Met". The record is from RNAcentral. Lineage: Bacteria; Bacillati; Bacillota; Bacilli; Lactobacillales; Lactobacillaceae.